CACCAGGUUAAUAAUGUUAGGUGGGCGG
Molecule: small RNA, 28 nt
Filed under: Bombyx mori (domestic silkworm)
Lineage: Eukaryota; Metazoa; Arthropoda; Insecta; Lepidoptera; Bombycidae
Description: ovarian small RNA-12939
Source: RNAcentral